RNAcentral lists this ribosomal RNA (429 nucleotides) under Gemmatimonadota bacterium. Its description in RNAcentral is "Gemmatimonadetes bacterium partial 16S ribosomal RNA". It matches the Rfam family "Bacterial small subunit ribosomal RNA", at positions 355 to 776 of the family's 1533-position model. The record is from RNAcentral. Lineage: Bacteria; Pseudomonadati; Gemmatimonadota.
UAGGGAAUCUUCGGCAAUGGACGAAAGUCUGACCGAGCAACGCCGCGUGAGUGAAGAAGGUUUUCGGAUCGUAAAACUCUGUUGUUAGAGAAGAACAAGGACGUUAGUAACUGAACGUCCCCUGACGGUAUCUAACCAGAAAGCCACGGCUAACUACGUUCCAGCAGCCGCGGUAAUACGUAGGUGGCAAGCGUUGUCCGGAUUUAUUUGGCGUAAAGCGAGCGCAGGCGGUUUCUUAAGUCUGAUGUGAAAGCCCCCGGCUCAACCGGGGAGGGUCAUUGGAAACUGGGAGACUUGAGUGCAGAAGAGGAGAGUGGAAUUCCAUGUGUAGCGGUGAAAUGCGUAGAUAUAUGGGGGAACACCAGUGGCGAAGGCGGCUCUCUGGUCUGUAACUGACGCUGAGGCUCGAAAGCGUGGGGAGCAAACAGG